Molecule: ribosomal RNA, 173 nt
Filed under: uncultured Staphylococcus sp.
Lineage: Bacteria; Bacillati; Bacillota; Bacilli; Caryophanales; Staphylococcaceae
Description: partial 16S ribosomal RNA
Rfam family: Bacterial small subunit ribosomal RNA
Source: RNAcentral
GGCACGGGGGGACUCCUACGGGAGGCAGCAGUAGGGAAUCUUCCGCAAUGGGCGAAAGCCUGACGGAGCAACGCCGCGUGAGUGAUGAAGGUCCUAGGAUCGUAAAACUCUGUUAUUAGGGAAGAACAAGGAUGUAAGUAACUGUGCAUCCCUUGACGGUACCUAAUCAGAAA